This 424-nucleotide ribosomal RNA is filed under the name Brucella melitensis. Its description in RNAcentral is "partial 16S ribosomal RNA". It matches the Rfam family "Bacterial small subunit ribosomal RNA", at positions 355 to 776 of the family's 1533-position model. The record is from RNAcentral. RNAcentral also lists the same sequence under 1 other name. Lineage: Bacteria; Pseudomonadati; Pseudomonadota; Alphaproteobacteria; Hyphomicrobiales; Brucellaceae.
UGAGGAAUAUUGGACAAUGGGUGAGAGCCUGAUCCAGCCAUCCCGCGUGAAGGACGACUGCCCUAUGGGUUGUAAACUUCUUUUAUACUGGGAUAAACCUACCCUCGUGAGGGUAGCUGAAGGUACAGUAUGAAUAAGCACCGGCUAACUCCGUGCCAGCAGCCGCGGUAAUACGGAGGGUGCAAGCGUUAUCCGGAUUUAUUGGGUUUAAAGGGUCCGUAGGCGGACUCGUAAGUCAGUGGUGAAAUCUCAUAGCUUAACUAUGAAACUGCCAUUGAUACUGCGGGUCUUGAGUAAAGUAGAAGUGGCUGGAAUAAGUAGUGUAGCGGUGAAAUGCAUAGAUAUUACUUAGAACACCAAUUGCGAAGGCAGGUCACUAUGUUUUAACUGACGCUGAUGGACGAAAGCGUGGGGAGCGAACAGG